UAAAUUAGUUUUGUUCUACCUUGUCUUUGGAGAACACACAACACCAGCAGUCUCCCUAUGCCUGAGGAAAGGUGUUUGUGCCCAAAAGCUUGCAAAGAACAUUUUUUCCAACUAUUUAGUUG
Gavialis gangeticus (Gharial) is the source of this 122-nucleotide long non-coding RNA. RefSeq lists it as uncharacterized. NCBI's taxonomy places the organism in Eukaryota, Metazoa, Chordata, Crocodylia, Gavialidae. The record is from RefSeq and is a predicted model, not a curated record. The transcript is spliced from 3 exons.